GAUGAAGAACGUAGCGAAAUGCGAUACGUAAUGUGAAUUGAAAAUUCAGUGAAUCAUCGAGUCUUUGAACGCACAUUGCGCCCCCUGGUAUUCCGGGGGGCAUGCCUGUCCGAGCGUCAUUGCUGCCCUCAAGCACGGCUUGUGUGUUGGGCCCCGUCCUCCGAUCCCGGGGGACGGGCCCGAAAGGCAGCGGCGGCACCGCGUCCGGUCCUCGAGCGUAUGGGGCUUUGUCACCCGCUCUGUAGGCCCGGCCGGCGCUUGCCGAUCAACCCAAAUUUUUAUCCAGGUUGACCUCGGAUCAGGUAGGGAUACCCGCUGAACUUAAGCAUAUCAAUAAGCGGAGGA
This 345-nucleotide unclassified non-coding RNA is filed under the name soil metagenome. RNAcentral's name for it is "partial contains 5.8S ribosomal RNA, internal transcribed spacer 2, and large subunit ribosomal RNA". The stretch from base 1 to 119 matches the Rfam family "5.8S ribosomal RNA", at positions 35 to 154 of the family's 154-position model. The record is from RNAcentral.